GACGAACGCUGGCGGCGUGCCUAAUACAUGCAAGUUGAGCGAUGAAGAUUGGUGCUUGCACCAAUUUGAAGAGCAGCGAACGGGUGAGUAACGCGUGGGGAAUCUGCCUUUGAGCGGGGGACAACAUUUGGAAACGAAUGCUAAUACCGCAUAACAACUUUAAACAUAAGUUUUAAGUUUGAAAGAUGCAAUUGCAUCACUCAAAGAUGAUCCCGCGUUGUAUUAGCUAGUUGGUGAGGUAAAGGCUCACCAAGGCGAUGAUACAUAGCCGACCUGAGGGGGUGAUCGGCCACAUUGGGACUGAGACACGGCCCAAACUCCUACGGGAGGCAGCAGUAGGGAAUCUUCGGCAAUGGACGAAAGUCUGGCCGAGCAACGCCGCGUGAGUGAAGAAGGUUUUCGGAUCGUAAAACUCUGUUGGUAGAGAAGAACGUUGGUGAGAGUGGAAAGCUCAUCAAGUGACGGUAACUACCCAGAAAGGGACGGCGAACUACGU
RNAcentral lists this ribosomal RNA (496 nucleotides) under uncultured bacterium. RNAcentral's name for it is "partial 16S ribosomal RNA". It matches the Rfam family "Bacterial small subunit ribosomal RNA", at positions 28 to 506 of the family's 1533-position model. The record is from RNAcentral.